GUUGGAGUGUGCAAACAGUACACCUUUUUUCCGAAUAUAAAGAUGGAAAUGGAGCGACAUAAAGUGAAGAAAUGAAAGAGAGGGGUCGCAAGUUUUAUUAUAAUAAUUGUUUUGUAUACUUUAUUUUUCGUGAAUCUUAUUCAACUCUGGUUUUUAUUUUCCGUUUGGCCGAAAGGAAACCCCGUGUGGUCGUCGAAUGAAGAGGAAGAGAAAUUGAUUUGGUCUCAGACAUACUUAAAAAUACAUUUUGAAGAAAAUC
This is a long non-coding RNA of Silurus meridionalis, 259 nucleotides long. RefSeq lists it as uncharacterized. Lineage: Eukaryota; Metazoa; Chordata; Actinopteri; Siluriformes; Siluridae. The transcript is spliced from 3 exons. The record is from RefSeq and is a predicted model, not a curated record.